CCUAAAAAUAAAUUAAUGGAUACUAUCUCCAUUUAGGGUUUUUAAAUAGGAUUUACAUCUUUCACAGACCCAUAGAUAUUGGGAAUAGAGGUCCAGUGGAUCUAUAAAACUGUGCGAAUAAUUUGAAUUCUAAAUGGUGUGGUGAGCCUGACCAUUUCACAGAUUGUCAGUAUCUGAAUUGAUUGUAUAGCUUCUUUGACCAUCCCUCUGAAGAAGUCCUAUGUGGACGAAACGCGUCAGGGUUGAAGAGACUUAUACUAC
Pseudophryne corroboree (corroboree frog) is the source of this 261-nucleotide long non-coding RNA. RefSeq lists it as uncharacterized. Lineage: Eukaryota; Metazoa; Chordata; Amphibia; Anura; Myobatrachidae. The transcript is spliced from 3 exons. The record is from RefSeq and is a predicted model, not a curated record.